This 501-nucleotide long non-coding RNA is filed under the name Cercocebus atys (sooty mangabey). RNAcentral describes it as "lncRNA (ENSCATG00000045493.1)". The record is from RNAcentral. Lineage: Eukaryota; Metazoa; Chordata; Mammalia; Primates; Cercopithecidae.
AUUCUGGGUUAAAUUUUCAAAGUAGAUUGGAAAGUGGACUUACCUUAGGAAAUUCUGGUUUAGGUGACCCUGAUGCCUGCAUUAAAAACAACAGCAGCAACAACAACAACAACAACAACAACAUAGGUGAUUCUGAUGAUCACCAGGAUUGAAAACCACUGGACCAUUGCUUUGAGAGAUGGUGCCAUGGCCAGAGACAGAGGUCCACUAUCCAUUGGUUGAUAUCCAUUCUUCUGUGGAGAAUCCUGCUGGCCUUACCUGUAUGACCCUACUGGAUAUGAAUGAGAAAGAACAUAUUGAAAUUGAGAAAAGAAGAUUUACAUGAUGAAAUCAACUCUAAGGAAAGAAGUAGUCAGGAAACCUGUUGAAAGAAAAUGAAAGCAAUGUAUUUCAGCAAUUACUUAAAUCCUGCAAGAAGAUCAUGUUUGAUGGGUAAGUUUUCAGAAUGAAAAUCUCCAUUGACUAAAGUGAAACUCAAUGGCAAUUUUAAAUGUCUUAUCU